UGAACGCUGGCGGCAUGCCUUACACAUGCAAGUCGAACGGUAACGCGGGGCAACCUGGCGACGAGUGGCGAACGGGUGAGUAAAGCAUCGGAACGUGCCCAAUCGUGGGGGAUAACGUACAGAAAUUUACGCUAAUACCGCAUGAGAUCUAAGGAUGAAAGCAGGGGAUCGCAAGACCUUGCGCGAUUGGAGCGGCUGAUGUCAGAUUAGUAGUUGGUGGGGUAAAGGCCUACCAAGCCGACGAUCUGUAGCUGGUUUGAGAGAACGACCAGCCACACUGGGACUGAGACACGGCCCACACUCCUACGGGAGGCAGCAGUGGGGAAUUUUGGACAAUGGGCGCAAGCCUGAUCCAGCAAUGCCGCGUGCAGGAAGAAGGCCUUCGGGUUGUAAACUGCUUUUGUACGGAACGAAACGGUCCUGGUUAAUACCCGGGGCUAAUGACGGUACCGUAAGAAUAAGCACCGGCUAACUACGUGCCAGCAGCCGCGGUAAUACGUAGGGUGCGAGCGUUAAUCGGAAUUACUGGGCGUAAAGCGUGCGCAGGCGGUUAUGUAAGACAGUUGUGAAAUCCCCGGGCUCAACCUGGGAAUUGCAUCUGUGACUGCAUAGCUAGAGUGCGGCAGAGGGGGAUGGAAUUCCGCGUGUAGCAGUGAAAUGCGUAGAUAUGCGGAGGAACACCGAUGGCGAAGGCAAUCCCCUGGGCCUGCACUGACGCUCAUGCACGAAAGCGUGGGGAGCAAACAGGAUUAGAUACCCUGGUAGUCCACGCCCUAAACGAUGUCAACUGGUUGUUGGGUGCAUUAGUACUCAGUAACGAAGCUAACGCGUGAAG
This 835-nucleotide ribosomal RNA is filed under the name uncultured Polaromonas sp. RNAcentral's name for it is "bacterial SSU rRNA". It matches the Rfam family "Bacterial small subunit ribosomal RNA", at positions 30 to 864 of the family's 1533-position model. The record is from RNAcentral. Lineage: Bacteria; Pseudomonadati; Pseudomonadota; Betaproteobacteria; Burkholderiales; Comamonadaceae.